CCUACGGGAGGCAGCAGUGAGGAAUAUUGGUCAAUGGGCGAGAGCCUGAACCAGCCAAGUCGCGUGAAGGAUGACUGCUCUAUGGGUUGUAAACUUCUUUUAUAUGGGAGUAAAAUGUUCCACGAGUGGGAUUUUGUAUGUACCAUAUGAAUAAGGAUCGGCUAACUCCGUGCCAGCAGCCGCGGUAAUACGGAGGAUCCGAGCGUUAUCCGGAUUUAUUGGGUUUAAAGGGAGCGUAGGUGGUUUGUUAAGUCAGUUGUGAAAGUCUGCGGCUCAACCGUGAAAUUGCAGUUGAAACUGGCAGACUUGAGUACAGUAGAGGUAGGCGGAAUUCGUAGUGUAGCGGUGAAAUGCUUAGAUAUCACGAAGAACACCGAUUGCGAAGGCAGCUCACUGGACUGGAACUGACACUGAGGCUCGAAAGUGUGGGUAUCAAACAGGAUUAGAUACCCCUGUAGUC
RNAcentral lists this ribosomal RNA (460 nucleotides) under uncultured bacterium. RNAcentral's name for it is "partial 16S ribosomal RNA". It matches the Rfam family "Bacterial small subunit ribosomal RNA", at positions 338 to 795 of the family's 1533-position model. The record is from RNAcentral.